UACGUAGGGGGCAAGCGUUGUCCGGAAUCAUUGGGCGUAAAGCGCACGUAGGCGGCCCGGUAAGUCCGCUCUGAAAGUCAGAGGCUCAACCUCUGGAGGCGAGUGGAUACUGCCGGGCUAGAGUCCGGAAGAGGCGAGUGGAAUUCCUGGUGUAGCGGUGGAAUGCGCAGAUAUCAGGAGGAACACCUAUUGCGAAGGCAGCUCGCUGGGACGGUACUGACGCUGAGGUGCGAAAGCGUGGGGAGCAAACAGG
This 253-nucleotide ribosomal RNA is filed under the name uncultured bacterium. RNAcentral describes it as "partial 16S ribosomal RNA". It matches the Rfam family "Bacterial small subunit ribosomal RNA", at positions 524 to 776 of the family's 1533-position model. The record is from RNAcentral.